CAGGCUGCAACUCGCCUGCAUGAAGCUGGAAUUGCUAGUAAUCGCGGAUCAGCAUGCCGCGGUGAAUACGUUCCCGGGCCUUGUACACACCGCCCGUCACACCAUGAGAGUCGGGAACACCCGAAGUCCGUAGCCUAACCGCAAGGGGGGCGCGGCCGAAGGUGGGUUCGAUAAUUGGGGUGAAGUCGUAACAAGGUAUC
RNAcentral lists this ribosomal RNA (200 nucleotides) under uncultured bacterium. RNAcentral's name for it is "partial 16S ribosomal RNA". It matches the Rfam family "Bacterial small subunit ribosomal RNA", at positions 1301 to 1500 of the family's 1533-position model. The record is from RNAcentral.